AUACAGUCUGUGAUGAGGCGAGUAUCUGCUUGCGGAACGCCAGCGAGUCAGGGAUGGUGGAAGCCUGACGGGGAAGCAUGUGGAGAAGCGCACCUCUGAGACGCUGCCUGAACUUUUUUUGUAGGGUGUGCCGGGACUGCCCGUUACAGCAGAUGCAGAAGUUGGCUCGUGUCGAUGAGACGGGCAACAAGAGUGGUACCGCGGGAGCAACAGCUCUCGUCUCUUUC
This 227-nucleotide non-coding RNA is filed under the name Tumebacillus algifaecis. Its description in RNAcentral is "T-box sequence". It matches the Rfam family "T-box leader". From Rfam's summary of the family: Uncharged tRNA acts as the effector for transcription antitermination of genes in the T-box leader family. Lineage: Bacteria; Bacillati; Bacillota; Bacilli; Caryophanales; Alicyclobacillaceae. The record is from RNAcentral.